AGAAUAGUAGUUACUUUACCAUAAGGAGAUUUUUCAGUACAUAGAAAAUUUUCUGCAAUGAAUAUCAACCCAUAACAGAUAUAAUUUCGUUGGAUGCAAAAAUUUCUGAGUCCCUAAUAUCCUAACCUGUUCAAAUUAUUCAGACUAGUUUAAAAUUUUCUCUGUCUUUUUACUAUGAAGAGAAUUUUAUUUUCACAUGCUGGCCUUUGUAUUCAUGCUACUUUUCCUUUGGAAUGGUAAGUUUAGACUCAAUGAAUUCAAAUCUGUGGAGAGAAAAAAAAAAACUUAUAAAGCACUAUUACUUUAAAGCCUAACUGUGAAGUUAAGCUUUUCAAUUCCUUUACAUUUCCAUGUCACUUAGAAAAAAAAGUAAGAGAAAGAUAAAAAGAAAAUUUAUUUACCUCCAGCCCUAAAGGCUUAAAUAACAAUACUAUAUAUCCAUUUUCAGCUUAUAAUAAUGACAUAUCAGAACCAAUAGUUGUGGAUAAACUACUAACCUCUGGAGCCAAAUGAAUUUUGAGGUGUUUCUUGCUUCUCCUUCGAUCCAACAUCAACGAUCUUGUCAACCAUAGGAGGAACAUCCUCAUCAUACUCAGAGAAAUCACCACCGUGAUUAGCCUUACCAACCAAUCUUUCCUGGAAAAACAUAAAUGCAGUUAUACUUGAUUCAUUGCAACAUUCUUUCUUUCAAGCUCAAAAUCAAUAUAAUGGUCACUUACUUCUUCAUGGAGGGGAGUCGAUACAGGGUUUAUACUAUCCCCACUUGCUUUGGGACAGGUGAUAUCUUCAACUUCAGAUCCUGAUUCUCCUGUAGAUGUGCCACUACUUCUUAUCUGUUCCCCAGAAACGCAAAAUCCAAAGGAAGAUAUGAUAUUUAAUUGAAAAAUCUGGAAGCUCUUUCAAAAUGCUGUGUUUAAGAUGGUUUUGGAAACUGUACCAUUGGAUUAGAUGGCUUAUCACAUUCAAUGACCCUCCCCUCAUCUUUAGAAACUGAUUCCAUUUGUUUAGAACACUGUACUCCACCAAUAACCAUCUGCAUGCCCACAACUGUUCUAUUUAAGUCAUAGUAAUAUGCAAAGCAGAACAGAAAACAGAGAGAACCAGUUAAAAUUGAGCAAAUAAAAGAGCCUAUACUAUAUUAAUCACAUAAUAAAGCAUUUUUGGAAAUCCUUCUGUAAUUGAUUCUAAAACCAAAAUCAAUUAUGGGGAAAAAGUUGAUUCUGGGAAAAACAAACUGAUCCAAACCUUCAAAAUGUUUAGGUCUUGCCAUGGCCCUUUAUCAGACCUCAUACAACCUCCCUGAUCUCUACAAGUGCAACUACCGCCUAGGAAUUCUGGCAGCUCACUGAGAACUUUUAGUUUGUAAGAAUUUUCAAAUAACAAUAUAUGUUGAAUGAAAAUAACUCCAUUAACAGAAUUAGAUGUAGAGUUACCUAGCAUCGAUAGUCUCAAGUAAUUUACUCUGGAACUUGUUUCCAAGAACCUAAUGUAGAAUUGAAAUAUCAGCUUAUCAUAUAUCUAUAGAUUACCUCCAAAAAUAGUAAGUAAUUACUUCAAUGGAAUCCUAUAAAAAUAUUAAAAUAUAAACGAUGACUCUCACAAUCAACACAUACAUGAAUCUUUGAAGUAGUUUUGGGAUCAAGAAAUGUUUUCACCGUGUUCCAAAGAAGCUUAAAACCAGGACCAGCAUUGACUAUGAACAUUUGAUAGAGUGUCUGCAUGGAAUAAUUUACAGAUUAUAAGCACUGCACGAACAAUAUGAAAAUUCAGAAGCCACCAAGAAAGUGAACACAAAGCCUACAUACUUCAGGAUAGUAAUCAUUAUCAAUCUUCUGUAGUUGAGUGAUGAGUUCCCGUGCAGACUUGGUAAAGUUUUUGAAACCCUAGAAACCAAGAGGCAUACUAAGAAUAUAUACUCUCGUCAUAACUAAUUUCAAGUUAAAUGGUGUCGAGGAAAGUUUUUGUGGACAUUUAGAACCCUCUUGGAUGCAGACAAAUAGCACUUAGUGGAGCUUAUCUAGUGCAUCUCUUUGUCUGGUAUCCAAAUGGGCUCUUAGGCACACAACUUACCACGCCUUGAACAUCCAAAAUGGUUGUGCUUGAAUCAAUGUGUCUCUUAGCAGCUAUAGAGCAAGCUGGAAACUUGACAGAAAAUGCUUUCUCAAAUCCCUGCACAUGGUAUCUCACAUACCUUUCCAUGGUAGUUACUUGCAUAAGCUUAUUUGGAUCAACUUUCCCUAGUCUCUCAAUAUAAAUAGGUCUUCCUUCUUUAUCUACACCAUGAUUACCAUGUGGAUAGUACGUCAAAACUUCAUACAACUCCUUGAAUUCAAAAUCCUAAAGAGUGGAAACCAUAGUAUAUUGUAUGAACACCAAAUUAAAAAAAAAAAAAUCAAUGUUCUGACUACAUGUUUGAUUCAAUGUUAAUAUUAUUGAAUAUGAUUUCUGACCUCUAUAAUUGUAUCUGUACCAUAGUCUUUCCUCCAUUGGAUCAUGUUGGCCCCCAUUUGCUUUGCUUUCUCAAUAUCAAACUUCCUUGCUUUCAAGAAUCUGCAAUGAAUUUGCUCACUUUAUUUUUAUCUGACAGUCUCAGCUCUAAGAAGUAUGUCAACAAUGAAUGAGAAAUACUUAAUGGCAUGAAAAGUAAUUCUCAUAUUUUGCACAAAAAGUUAAAUUAUAAAGUAAUACUUUACUUUCUCAAUCUUGAUUUUCCUCCUUAUUCUCACACUUUCAUACCAUUCAUCUCUUAUUUAACAGCAUUAUAGCAACGCUCAUUAUGAAUAUGCGAAGAGAUAGCAAUGAACAAAUGUUUGUAACCUUAAUAACAUGUGAUAGUCAUCAUGCAUUGGAGGCAGAAAGUUAUCCAACAUAAGUGCUUGUCGAAGAGCUUCCACAGCUUGAAGCUCCUUAACAUCUCGAACGUCUUCAAUGGAGAGGGAAUUGGUACGGCUGGCACUCUUUUUGCUUCUUUUCUUCUUAAGAGAGUGCCUGAAUUUGGUGGAAGCACUUAUUGCCAUCUUCUUUAGACUGCCAAUUCUCGUCCGCCUAUCAUCCUCAGAAUUCUCUCUUCUUUCUUCAUUGCCUGAGUAUCCUUCAAAGCCUAACCAAUAGAUUUAAGACCAUGCAGGAAUGAACAUUAAUUCAAAUGAACUUAUUCAGCUUUUUUUUUUGGUACAUCGGAAAGAUAAAUUGCACCCGCCAGGAAUCGAUCCCUGGACCUCCCCCUACCCAACCCAUAUGCCCCCAGCUCCUACCACUUGAGUUAUCCUACGGGGACAACUUAUUCAGCUUAUUAAAUUAAACCUUAAUUAAAAAUGAAAAGAAAUGAAACUUGAUGUAAAUCUUUUACUAAGAAAUGAAGAAAACAUUCAAAUAACAAUAUUAAGCCCAAGAAAAAAGCAAUUAAGAAAACAUGGCAAAAGUAAAAGAACCCAGAAAGAGAAAGGAGAAGGUGCUACUCACAAAUGUGCCCAGACAUGUCUGGAAUGGUAAACGAAGACCCAAGUGGCAGACCAAUUCCUAAUAGUGAAACAAGAAGCAGGGGCAGAAGAAAAUUUAAUAAAACUUGAACCUUUAUUGUUGGGCAUGGGUUGAUUGGUUCAAUCGUUUUCAGAGUGUUUGAUUGAACAUGUAGCAGACACAGGGUGUAGUUAGAUGACAAAAUAAAUGCAGAGAUGAAACUCUGAUGUUGUUGAUGAUAAUUAAAACAAUAUACUCUUCUCAAAGAUGAAGGCAGAAUAAUGUAAACUUGAUAUUAUUCUAUACAAUAUGCUUCACCUCCCAUUUUAAAAUUAUGUAUCUAUGUGUAUGUAUGACUUUUGAUUUUGGACUCAAUAAUAAAUAAGAGGUCCCUGUUGCCACCUUGUGGAUUGGUGGCCCCGCCAUGUAUUAGUUAACGUAGGGCCUUUGGCGAGUUGGCGGGAGUUUAUCUCCAUCUUCAACUUCUUCAGAUUUUUUCUUCUUCUUUGUGGUCAUCAAUCAUCAUUAGGUGUUAAUAUAUAUUAUUCAUCUGACCAAAAUAUUCAAUAGAAUUUAAGCAUAGGACAAAAUCAAUGAAAAUACACGUAUAUCCCUUUGUAUGUUAGUGAUGUGGGACACUGUCCUAUGUGUGGAAAGUUUGAUGACUUUGAUCUCCUUGUACAUUUUGGCUUGUGUGCCUAUUUUUCUUCCUUCUACAGGAACAAUUGUGCUGAGUAAACUUAAGUAUAGCAGGUUGACACCGAACACACCAACAUGUUCUUCGUCUCCACGCACGUUGUUCUUUCGUCCACUUAUUCCUAAGCGCCAUUGGAGAGCUACCUUAACUCCACUAUAAGAUUCUUUCUGUAGAUUUUAUAAUAUCUGAAAUGAAUAUGCGAGUACUUUCAGGCUUUCUGGUUAGAGUCACAAUUCUGCCAUAUAAAUUUUAAGGUAAUGUUGUUAGUGACCUCCCUUUUAUGAACUUGAUUCCUCUGCCAGUACCCUCUUUAGCAAAGUCCUUUUACAUUUGAAGUGGUCUAACACUCUAACAUGGUAGGGUAGUUUUUGCAUAGUAGUUAUAAUUAAGGACCAAAUAAUCACUCUAUGAAGUUUUUUCUUUCCAAAGCAAAUAAGCACUCAGCAAAGUUAUACAGUCAUCAUUGCCAUUAUGCAAUAGAAAGUUCCCUACAUGCAAGUCUCCCAAAAAAAUUAAUAUUAAUAAUAAUAAUAGUAAUAAUAAUAAUGAAGCGGACACAGGAAAAAAAAACAGGAAAUUCAACAACUUCUGUAAACAGCAUUUUAUUCAAUCAUCCCAAUUUUUUUUUCCAAACCCUGCAAUACAACACAACCAACAGCAACAAGCUGCGUCCAAUGGAUGAACCAGAAUUAUACAUAUUAACAGUUGGGGAGGAUUGAAAGAAGUAGUGGAAAAGCAAAAUACAUGAUGCAUUUCUGUUCAUAUUUAGACCAUGGCUGCUUAGAUCUGUGUAUAACAAUAGGAAAUUUGAGGACCGAAAAAAAAUUUAGCUGUUGGUGAAAAUUAUAUACCAAUUACUAUAAUACUGUCCAUCCCGAGUACAAAUGGCACAUUUUUAUAGAACUGGAUAUGAUUUUCUUUACAGUUUAAACUUUAGGACAGUUAAAUUAUUAAAUGAAGCACUUAUUUGUUGUAGCUGAACUUAUGCUUAAUUUCCACCUUCUUCACUUGAGCGUGAGUCAGGGGCCAGUAAAUAAGAUGGCCUCUUUUUUGUAUUCAACAUUCUUAAUUGAAGUCAUCCUGAUGCAAUUAUAUGUAUAGAAGCAUCAUAUCCUCUUUUUAUGGAAACUUAGCUUAACAUUAUUGCACUCGUCAACUGAUUCUUCUCUCUCUCUCUCUCUUCAACACCAUGUUCUUCUUGUCUUGAAUUUGCUUUUUUCCUGAUUGUCUUUGUAUGUCAUAAGUUCUUCUUGUUUUAUCAAAGCUUCGUGUAAAGCCUGUUUAGGAAGUGGAAGAAACAAGUUCAUAUAUAAAAUUAUAAACGCCACAAAGUAUUGAGCAAUCUACCCACAAACAAUAUAAUAUACACCAACAGUUAACAUAGUGCUUAACAAUGACAUAAAGAACAUGAACAUUAUGCAUAACUACAUGAAGGAUCGCUAGUCACUCUACUUCUACAUAUUGUGAUCACAAUCACAAAACUUGAAACAUGAGUCAGGUAAUUUGUUGGACAAGUCAAUUUAAUGGAAACAAGUAGCAAAGAACAUAAAAAAAUUCCUUUAAAACUUUGAGACAUGGUAAAACAGCAGGGAGGGGGGGGGGUUCUGUUUUUUCAAGUCUGAAGCAAUUAAUAUGAUUUCUAAAUGAAAUACAAUUACCUUCUUAGUAGUUAUCUGCUCUGCUUCCAACGCGUCCACUCGAUAAAUAGCAGCAUUCAGCAACUCUUCUUUUGCAUGUGGCAUGGCAUUAAGUUUUGACUCUAGCAUGUCAACUUUCUCUUCAAGCUCACCAAGGCGUUCUAAGGUAGAUGAGGAGAGGUUUGUCAUUGUCAAUCCGCGAGGAGGCGAAAGAGGACGAGGUUCCCCCUUGGAUGUUGAAUCAACAGCCAAGAUUGGUAUGUUUUUGGCAGAAUCAGAUUCAGCGACCAGUAUUCCCUUAGUGGCAUAAAAUGCUACUGAACGAGCAAAAGUAUAAAGGGCCGAAAAGAAGCCUGUUGUAUAUAAUCAUGAUUACUUUACCAUUAAGAAAUUUUUCAGUACAUAGAAAUUUUUCUGCAAUUAAUAUCAACCGAUAAAAGAUAUAAUAUCGUGGAUGCCAAAAAUUUGUUUAAAAUCUUUUCACUAUGAAGAGAAUUUCAUUUUCAUAUGCAGGUCUUUGAAUUCAUGCUACUUUUUCAUUGGAAUGGUAAGUUUAGACUCAAUGAAUUCAAAUCUGUGGAGAGAAAAAAAAUUAUAAAGCACUAUACAUUUAAAGCAUAACUGUAAAGUUAAGCUUUUCAAUUCCUUUACAUUUGCAUGUCACAUAGGAAAAAAAGGGAGAUAAAGAUAAAAAGAAAAUUUAUCUACCUCUAGCCCUAAAGGCUUAAAUAACAAGAGUAUGCAUCUUCAGCUAAUAAUAAUGACAUAUCAGAACCAAUAGUUGUGCAUAUACUACUAACCUCUGGAGACAAAUGAGUUUUGAGGUGUUUCUUGCUUCUCCUUCGAUCCAACAUCAACGAUCUUGUCAACCAUAGGAGGAACAUCCUCAUCAUAAGAGAAAGCACCACCAUGGCUAGCCUUACUAACCAAUCUUUCCUGGAUAAACAUAAAUGCAUUUAAACUUGACUCAUUGCAACAAUUUCUUUUUCC
This 6783-nucleotide long non-coding RNA is filed under the name Lotus japonicus. Its description in RNAcentral is "long non-coding RNA (LJAP_LNC001099)". Lineage: Eukaryota; Viridiplantae; Streptophyta; Magnoliopsida; Fabales; Fabaceae. The record is from RNAcentral.